AUCCAUUCACUUUUGCAUUGUAGUGCUCUCAACCUAUAUUCAAAUAUAACCAGCUGGAUUCCUUUGCUCAGUCAAGGAUUCUCCUAAAGCUUAAGGACAGUGAAGCUCAGAAAGUGUGUGGAGGAGCAGUUAAUUCAGUUUCAUGCAAGGGUUAAGAUGACUUUAUUCCCCCUUUUCUUCACAACUAAUAAAAUUUCAAAUGCAUACUCUUACGUGUGUCUUUUUGAGGGAGGGUGGUAGAAGGGGAAUCCUCAGUACCUAUUGGCUGGGCUCUAUCAGCUGCAGUUCAGCUCCAGCUGCUGCUAAAGAGCUGUAUUGAUCUGAAGGGUAAAUGAGUAGAGAGAACCAGAGGGAGAGGGAGAGAGAGAUCCACUUAUUUCUGAGAAGAUAGACAACCUUUGCCAGAAAGAAAGUGGUUCAACCCGUCUGCUUUCCUUGUCGUGCGUUUGGUGAAUGAAAAAAAAGGACGUUUGAGAAGGCAGUUUGUUGCUAUGGUGGGGUAGAGAGAGAUACAUGGUUUUCUUUUAGUAGAAGCUUCUGUUGCAUCUUACUGUCGCUGCUGCUUCUCUGGCUGCUGCACUUGCACAGAGCAGGACGGUUUCUAUGGAGAACAUUACAAAAGGAAAUGUCCUACUCCCUCAUCUUACCGUCUUCCUCUACAAGCAAUAAACCCCGUGGCCCAUCUUUUUUAAAGGUAUGGGGGAACAUAUGUGAUUGAAGAUGUUCCCACAGGAACAUGGUGACUCUGACUCCCUUAAUGUCUCUUGCUUCUUAAAGGUUUGUGAAAUGGAUCCCCCUGCCAAAUGCUGUCUGCUCCAAAGAUUGGGUGUACUUAGUGUAUAGCAGAAGUUGGCAAUGUGUAGUUGUGUAGAUGUUGUUGGGCUAGAGUACCCAUAAUGCCAUUGGGUAGGCUAGGUUCAGUUGAUUGGAGCUUUUGUUCCUUGCUUCACAACAAUUUGUUCUGCCUGUACUAAACACCUGUAAGGCAUAAGUGUAUAUGUAGAUA
Molecule: long non-coding RNA, 1006 nt
Filed under: Pogona vitticeps (central bearded dragon)
Lineage: Eukaryota; Metazoa; Chordata; Lepidosauria; Squamata; Agamidae
Description: lncRNA (ENSPVIG00000020781.1)
Source: RNAcentral